This 307-nucleotide unclassified non-coding RNA is filed under the name plant metagenome. RNAcentral's name for it is "partial contains 5.8S ribosomal RNA, internal transcribed spacer 2, and large subunit ribosomal RNA". The stretch from base 1 to 105 matches the Rfam family "5.8S ribosomal RNA", at positions 50 to 154 of the family's 154-position model. The record is from RNAcentral.
GAAAUGCGAUAAGUAGUGUGAAUUGCAGAAUUCAGUGAAUCAUCGAAUCUUUGAACGCACAUUGCGCCCUUUGGUAUUCCAAAGGGCAUGCCUGUUCGAGCGUCAUUUGUACCCUCAAGCUUUGCUUGGUGUUGGGCGUCUUGUCUCUAGCUUUGCUGGAGACUCGCCUUAAAGUAAUUGGCAGCCGGCCUACUGGUUUCGGAGCGCAGCACAAGUCGCACUCUCUAUCAGCAAAGGUCUAGCAUCCAUUAAGCCUUUUUUCAACUUUUGACCUCGGAUCAGGUAGGGAUACCCGCUGAAGUUAAGC